Molecule: long non-coding RNA, 277 nt
Filed under: Volvox carteri
Lineage: Eukaryota; Viridiplantae; Chlorophyta; Chlorophyceae; Chlamydomonadales; Volvocaceae
Description: long non-coding RNA (VCAR_LNC002656)
Source: RNAcentral
UUGCCGCCUCUCCCGCCCACAGCAGUAUUAGACACCACCCCAACGACCCUCCAAGUCAGCAUGCUGGAACGCCAAGCACCUUCGUCCCGUUAUGCUUUCGCUACCUCGCCACACCGCACCCUAUUCGCCACUUGCGUUUGAUUGACGUUUAACUGCCGCUGCUGGGGUUGUUAGAUAGGAUGAACAGUCAAUUGGGCCUGUACGGCUAGCAACCGAAUUGGUUGUAGGUUCCCCCCACAGUAAACUAACCCUUCCCAAGCACCGACGUACCCAAGCC